RNAcentral lists this microRNA precursor (104 nucleotides) under Marmota monax (woodchuck). Lineage: Eukaryota; Metazoa; Chordata; Mammalia; Rodentia; Sciuridae. The record is from RNAcentral.
AGAGGAAUUACUGGGUCAUAUUGUUAACUCUACAUUUAACUUUUUGAGAAAUUGCCACACUAUUUUCCAAUGCAGAUGUAUCAUUUUACAUUUCCAUUAGCAGU